CCGGACGUAGCGCAGAGGUCGGCGCACCGCUACGGCAUGGCGGAAACACCGGUUCGAAUCCGGUCGGACCGGACCG
This 76-nucleotide transfer RNA is filed under the name Streptomyces scabiei. RNAcentral's name for it is "tRNA-Ala". It matches the Rfam family "tRNA". Rfam says of the family: Transfer RNA (tRNA) molecules are approximately 80 nucleotides in length. Their secondary structure includes four short double-helical elements and three loops (D, anti-codon, and T loops). Further hydrogen bonds mediate the characteristic L-shaped molecular structure. tRNAs have two regions of fundamental functional importance: the anti-codon, which is responsible for specific mRNA codon recognition, and the 3' end, to which the tRNAs corresponding amino acid is attached (by aminoacyl-tRNA synthetases). tRNAs cope with the degeneracy of the genetic code in two manners: having more than one tRNA (with a specific anti-codon) for a particular amino acid; and 'wobble' base-pairing, i.e. permitting non-standard base-pairing at the 3rd anti-codon position. The record is from RNAcentral. Lineage: Bacteria; Bacillati; Actinomycetota; Actinomycetes; Kitasatosporales; Streptomycetaceae.